RNAcentral lists this ribosomal RNA (494 nucleotides) under uncultured bacterium. Its description in RNAcentral is "partial 16S ribosomal RNA". It matches the Rfam family "Bacterial small subunit ribosomal RNA", at positions 31 to 507 of the family's 1533-position model. The record is from RNAcentral.
GAACGCUGGCGGCGUGCCUAAUACAUGCAAGUCGAGCGAACAGACGAGGAGCUUGCUCCUCUGACGUUCGCGGCGGACGGGUGAGUAACACGUGGAUAACCUACCUAUAAGACUGGGAUAACUUCGGGAAACCGGAGCUAAUACCGGAUAAUAUAUUGAACCGCAUGGUUCAAUAGUGAAAGACGGUUUUGCUGUCACUUAUAGAUGGAUCCGCGCCGCAUUAGCUAGUUGGUAAGGUAACGGCUUACCAAGGCAACGAUGCGUAGCCGACCUGAGAGGGUGAUCGGCCACACUGGAACUGAGACACGGUCCAGACUCCUACGGGAGGCAGCAGUAGGGAAUCUUCCGCAAUGGGCGAAAGCCUGACGGAGCAACGCCGCGUGAGUGAUGAAGGUCUUCGGAUCGUAAAACUCUGUUAUUAGGGAAGAACAAAUGUGUAAGUAACUAUGCACGUCUUGACGGUACCUAAUCAGAAAGCCACGGCUAACUACGUG